AUGUUUGAGUUUGAACAGGUACUAGUGGCCACAAAUAAUUUUUCAGAAGAAAACAAACUUGGAGAAUGUGGCUUUGGCACUGUCUACAAGGGCCAGUUACCCGAGGGAUCAGAGAUAGCACUUAAGAGACUUGCUCCACAUUCGGGUCAAGGUUUCACAGAGUUCAAAAAUGAAGUCCAGCUCAUAGCCAAACUAAAGCAUAGGAAUUUGGUUAGGCUCUUAGGUUGUUGCUCUCAUGAAGACGAGAAAAUAUUGGUCUAUGAAUAUUUGUCAAACAAAAGCUUGGCUUCCUUCAUCUUUGAUGAAAAUAAAAGAGCUUUGCUAGAUUGGUCCACACUUUUAGCAAUAAUUCAAGGAAUAGCUCAUGGACUUCUUUACCUACAUAAGCACUCCCAAUUGCGCGUCAUACAUCGAGAUCUUAAACCGAGCAACAUUCUCUUGGAUAGCGAAAUGAAUCCAAAAAUUUCAGACUUUGGGCUAGCAAAAAUAUUCAACUCAAAUAGCAUUGAACAAAACACUACAAGAAGAGUGUUCGGUACAUACGGCUACAUGCCCCCUGAGUAUGCUUCAGAAGGCAUCUUCUCUAUUAAAUCCGAUGUCUUCAGCUUUGGUGUUGUUAUUUUUGAGAUCAUUAGUGGAAAACGGAAUUCUGGUAGCCGACAAUGUGGAGAUUUCAUCAAUCUCCUUGGAUAUGCAUGGCAAUUAUGGAAAGAGGGAAGGUUGAUUGAUCUCGCUGAUGCAUCAUUGGUUUCCAAGAGUAACCCAAUAGAGAUGAUGAGAUGCAUUAACAUAGCAUUGUUGUGUGUACAAGAUAAUGCAUCUGAUAGACCAACCAUGGCCGAUGUUGUUGCGAUGCUAAGCAAUCAGAGAAUGAUCAUGGCCGAGCCUAAACAACCAGCAUAUUUCAAUGUAAGAGUGGAAAAUCAUGGGGCAUCUUGUGCUCCCGAAUCAUGCAGUAUUAAUGAUAUUACCAUAUCGGUCACAGUUCCUAGAUAG
RNAcentral lists this ribosomal RNA (996 nucleotides) under Triticum aestivum (bread wheat). Its description in RNAcentral is "partial small subunit ribosomal RNA". The record is from RNAcentral. Lineage: Eukaryota; Viridiplantae; Streptophyta; Magnoliopsida; Poales; Poaceae.